GGCAAGCGUUGUCCGGAUUUAUUGGGCGUAAAGAGCUCGUAGGCGGUCUGUCGCGUCGGUCGUGAAAACUUGGGGCUUAACCCUGAGCUUGCGGUCGAUACGGGCAUGACUGGAGUUCGGUAGGGGAGACUGGAAUUCCUGGUGUAGCGGUGAAAUGCGCAGAUAUCAGGAGGAACACCGGUGGCGAAGGCGGGUCUCUGGGCCGAUACUGACGCUGAGGAGCGAAAGCGUGGGGAGCGAACAGG
RNAcentral lists this ribosomal RNA (245 nucleotides) under uncultured bacterium. Its description in RNAcentral is "partial 16S ribosomal RNA". It matches the Rfam family "Bacterial small subunit ribosomal RNA", at positions 533 to 776 of the family's 1533-position model. The record is from RNAcentral.